GACGAACGCUGGCGGCGUGCUUAACACAUGCAAGUCGAACGGAAAGGCCCUGCUUUUGUUUGGUUCUCGAUUGGCGAACGGGUGAGUAACACGUGAGUAACCUGCCCUUGACUUUGUGAUAACUUCAGGAAACUGGGGCUAAUACCGGGUAGGAUCUCCUGCUGCAUGGUGGUGGUUGGAAAGUUUCGGCGGUGGGGGAUGGACUCGCGGCUUAUCAGCUUGUUUGUCGGGUAGUGGCUUACCAGGGCUUUGACGGGUAGCCGGCCUGAGAGGGUGACCGGCCACCUUGGGACUGAGAUACGGCGCAGACUCCUACGGGACGCAGCAGUGGGGAAUAUUGCAGAAUGGGCGGAAGCCUGAUGUAGCAACGCCGCGUGCGGGAUGACGGCCUUCGGGUUGUAAACCGCUUUCGCCUGUGACGAAGCGUGAGUGACGGUAAUGGGUAAAGAAGCACCGGCUAACUACGUG
RNAcentral lists this ribosomal RNA (468 nucleotides) under uncultured bacterium. RNAcentral's name for it is "partial 16S ribosomal RNA". It matches the Rfam family "Bacterial small subunit ribosomal RNA", at positions 28 to 507 of the family's 1533-position model. The record is from RNAcentral.